RNAcentral lists this long non-coding RNA (336 nucleotides) under Carica papaya (papaya). Its description in RNAcentral is "long non-coding RNA (CPAP_LNC009506)". Lineage: Eukaryota; Viridiplantae; Streptophyta; Magnoliopsida; Brassicales; Caricaceae. The record is from RNAcentral.
AAGCAAGCAAGAAGCACCACUAAGGAAAAAAAGUUAUUGGUCACUCCAACGCAGCACUACUUAACCUUUUUCUCUUGCUAUUUUUUUAGUCCUUGUUCGAUCAACAUAGGAAGAAAAUUUUCAAGCUUACAUUGUUCAUUCUAGCGCUUAAGCUUAAGCUAUUGGAGCAAUUUCAUUGUCUCACUCAAGUUCAUUCUUAACUCGCACAAUUGCCUCUACUUCACCUUUUUCUCCUUUUUCCCAUUCAUCACUUACUUGAGGACAAAGGAAAAAAGUAGUGUUAAGUAUAUAUGGAACUAUAAAGAGGCCAAGCAAGGAGGAUGAAGAAAGUCUAGU